UUGGCAAAAAGUAGUUCAAUGUUUACAUUCUGUUACCACCUUGAAGUGUCUUUCUUGAAGCAUUUAAUACAACACUCAUCAGAAUGUGGUGAUCUGUCUGUGCUUCAACCUGUGUACUAUAAUAUAACUGUGUAUGAUAUUAUUUAAAGCAAUUAAUAUUAAAAAAUGUCCUCAAACAAAGAGAGUAAGACUGCAUAUCUUCUGGCAGGCACUGCAGUCGCAGGAGUGGCUGCUGGUUUUCUAUUUAGAAAAUUAUUCGCUAACACAUCAACUGUACAAGUUCAAACUUUUGAGUCCAAAACUUCUAACAAUGAGAAAGUAAUAAAAUAUUCCCAGGACGAUAACAUUUAUGACUUACAUUUACCCAC
Dufourea novaeangliae is the source of this 368-nucleotide long non-coding RNA. RefSeq lists it as uncharacterized. The record is from RefSeq and is a predicted model, not a curated record. The transcript has 3 exons. NCBI's taxonomy places the organism in Eukaryota, Metazoa, Arthropoda, Insecta, Hymenoptera, Halictidae.